Molecule: ribosomal RNA, 35 nt
Filed under: Neospora caninum
Lineage: Eukaryota; Apicomplexa; Conoidasida; Eucoccidiorida; Sarcocystidae
Description: partial 18S small subunit ribosomal RNA
Source: RNAcentral
GGUUUCCGUAGGUGAACCUGCGGAAGGAUCAUUCA